GAACUGCCUUUUGGAACCAAAUGCCUUCUAAUUCCUUUUUAUAAAGAUCAUCGUAACUUUUCCACCUUUUCUUUUUCACAGUUGCUCAUAAGCCUUGUGCUUCUCUCUGCUUUUAGUCAUUUUUGUAGCUUUAACCUUCCACCUGCCUGGUCUACUUCAAGGCUUGCUUAAAAUGCCCCAGCUGUAAUUGCUUUACCAGUAUGUCCCUCGUGUAAGUAGCAGUUAGCGGUAAUACACCCAGAGACCAGGUUUUAAUCAGCCUUGACUGAAGACUAAAAAUGAUUCACUUCUGUCAGCACUGGGCAACGCAACAAACAGCUCUCCAGCAAAUCACUUAAGCAGAAAUAUGUUGGCAUGUUUCUAUAGCAACUAAGGAAAAAUAUUUCACACAGAAGUCCAUCUGCUGCAACAUAAAGGGAGAUCUGGCCAAGGAUCGUGUUAGAAAUUAAUCUUAAUUUGCAAAUUUUAUUUUUGCAAACCUCACGCAGCCGCUUGCACAAAAAGGCAGAACGUCGGCGACAGGAUGACAAUUGGGUUUGGAUACAGGCUGUCAAUUAAUCAGCAAACUGGUCAUUAAUUCGAGAAGCAGCGAUUGUCCAAGGAUGAAAAAUCACAGUGCGUUGGAGAGCUUUGCAUAGACCCAAAAAGGAAUUCAAAAAACAAGCUGGAUAAACAAGAAGAACUUUCUGUCUGCUCGGAAACAUGUAGGCUAAUGUCCUUGAGCAUGUGCCAGGCCUCCGGGGGUUACGUCCAGGGAACGUGAGUCAAGCCUCGCCAGGGUCUGUCACCUGCAGCUUUGUGUGCAAUGCUAUUCCUUCAAACAUUUCAGGAAGAGCUCUUUGUCUUCAAUCAAGGAGGUUCUUAAAAGCUCUCAUUGCCUCCACCUGUGGUUCUACAUCUUCCUUACAGUGGUAAAGGAGCUGGGUUGGAAGUUCAAGUGGGGAACUUCUCAAAAACCUUUCCUGCUCAGAGGAACUUUGUCAAAGCACGGCUUCAUUUGGAAGAACAUCCUGCUUCACUUUCAUGUCCAAAGCUACUGCGGUGUUUUGCCAACUCUGAGCACAGCAUUAAGAUAAAAGGGAGACUCGAUCCACUUGGCAUUCACGAAUAAGUAUUUUUUUUCCUUCUUUAUUUUCCCAUUAGAAGUGUUCAACAGAAGCUGUAGGUGCUCCGUGUCAUUCAGGUUGUUGCCUGGGGGUGGAACAAUGAAGAUUCUAUUGGAAAGUGGCUAAAAUUUGGGGCCAUGAGCAUGAUGCCAUUUGGCACUUGCGUGAUUUUCCCUGCUCACAGCCACAAGGAUCUGUCACCAGAGGCUGCAAUCUUUGCUGCCAACUUUCAGCCCAGGAAAGGUGUUAGAGAUUGAACUGCACUGUGAUCCUUGGGAAAAGAGGGCAUAUCUUUGUCAUUUUGUUUUACUGACAUUUCUGGGGAUUUUGACAGAAGGAAGAUAGCAGGAAAUUACAACUCCUGUCAGUGAGCAUCCCGAAAUAUUUCUGAGUAAACGAUGGCAGAUGCUUCAAGCCAGAGAUGCUGUUAGACAUUGAGAAAUAUGAUUUUCUUUUACUCUCAGUUGAAGCUCUGAUUAUUUCAUUUUCCCAAGCAGAAGGUCAGUAUGACAUGCACGUCAUAUAUUCAUAUGGCAACUCUUAUAUUUCAUCCAUGCCAUUGUUUUUUUGUGUUUAAAUAGAGAUAAAACAGCUAAAUGCAGUUGAUCACUGGGCAGGAGACAGGCAGUGCUAGAAAAAAAAAGUUUCCCUUGUUUAAGUAGUAUUUCUUACUUAAAAGCAAGUUUUAUUUGGCUUGUGUGCAGAGCUCUGUCUUCAUAAACCUUUAAUCUCAGAGCUGUCAAACCUCCUUUGACCCAGAGUCUUACAGUAAAUAGAGGGGGGAAAAAAAAUGACAAAGAUGCUCUUCUGUAGAAAUGUGAGCUUAGGGAAUGAAGUUCAAGGUGAAAAUCCUGUAGUGUUGUUUCAGCAGCAUUAAUGGAAAUUGAUUCAAUGGAGACUUUUCAGUCUCCAUUCCUGAAUCUCUAAUGUCAAAGCCUUGAGAAAAUGAUAAAGUACCAUGAUUUUCUGA
This 2076-nucleotide long non-coding RNA is filed under the name Coturnix japonica (Japanese quail). RNAcentral describes it as "lncRNA (ENSCJPG00005011363.1)". The record is from RNAcentral. Lineage: Eukaryota; Metazoa; Chordata; Aves; Galliformes; Phasianidae.